RNAcentral lists this small nuclear RNA (156 nucleotides) under Adineta vaga. RNAcentral's name for it is "U12 minor spliceosomal RNA". It matches the Rfam family "U12 minor spliceosomal RNA". From Rfam's summary of the family: Although the U12 sequence is very divergent from that of U2, the two are functionally analogous. The record is from RNAcentral. Lineage: Eukaryota; Metazoa; Rotifera; Eurotatoria; Adinetida; Adinetidae.
GUGCCUUAAACUAAUGAGUAAGGAAAAUAACGCUAUCUAGUGGAAUAACUAGAAUAGCACUUAAUUACUCGAAUUUUUGAAUCGGGGCGACAGGUUACCCGCUUGAGUAGAUUCCACUACUUUUCGGAAUCCGCUCGUGUUGAAGCGACCUAGCCC